AAUAAGAGUAAGGACUUUGGUUGCCAAAGUCCCUUGCUUGAAGGACUAUCGCACUUUCAGUAGUACUGAGACGGUCCCUACCACUACCUUUAUCAAGCUGGUUUACAAGAGUUCUGACUUUGACUUUCUCAACCGGACAAACUUCCAGGGAAUCUAAUUUCUUUUGGACCCCCUAUUAUAUUUAUAUGCGGUCCUAACCUUGGUACUCUUACUUCCACUAGCAAGAGAACUUCUGCUCGUAACAUAUUCCUAGGGAUAUAAUCUUACUUCUUGAAGCGAGUUACUUUAACUGCCAAAGGAAUUGGGCGAGCGCCAAAACACUAGCACAAACUACUCCCACAGACACACAUGGUAGGGGGUGGGGACAACCAGGCCAUUACUUUUACCAGAUGGGUCUGGACGACCUGAUGCUCUAAGGAUUAGUUUUAUUUGUGGUUGAGAUUUGAUUGACUAUAGCAAGAGCCACAUGUCGAGUAGGGUUUUAUUUGUUGAGAUUUAGGGUAUGUCUCAUGGUUUUGGUAUUUAGCAUUAGCACUACUUCUUACUACUUUUUCAGAGUACUUUGUUAUUUGUCUUUGAUGUUUCUCUGUUGUGCCAUGUUUGUCCAGUCUGAAUUUUUAACCUCAUUCAACAAUAAGAUUAUGCAUAGUUUAUUAACGAUUCAUUAUUUUUAAUAUUGGGAGGAGUAAUUAUAAAACUAAAAUAGUAUUAAAAUUAAGCUAAAUGAGAAAUAAAAAUUAAAAGUAUGAG
This 750-nucleotide long non-coding RNA is filed under the name Nicotiana benthamiana. RNAcentral's name for it is "long non-coding RNA (NBEN_LNC004510)". Lineage: Eukaryota; Viridiplantae; Streptophyta; Magnoliopsida; Solanales; Solanaceae. The record is from RNAcentral.